This 324-nucleotide unclassified non-coding RNA is filed under the name uncultured fungus. RNAcentral describes it as "partial contains small subunit ribosomal RNA, internal transcribed spacer 1, and 5.8S ribosomal RNA". The stretch from base 1 to 73 matches the Rfam family "Eukaryotic small subunit ribosomal RNA", at positions 1759 to 1831 of the family's 1831-position model. Lineage: Eukaryota; Fungi. The record is from RNAcentral.
GCAAACUUGGUCAUUUAGAGGAAGUAAAAGUCGUAACAAGGUUUCCGUAGGUGAACCUGCGGAAGGAUCAUUACUGAACUGUAAGCACGAGUUGUUGCUGGUCCUCAAGUGGGGGCAUAUGUGCACGCUCUGUUCACACAUCCACUCACACCUGUGCACCUUCUGUAGUUCUACAGCUUGGGGGGCUCUGUCUUCCUUCUGUGGUUCUACGUCUUUACAUACACACCGUGACAAAGUCUUGUGGAAUGUGCACCGCGUUUAACGCAAUACAAUACAACUUUCAGCAACGGAUCUCUUGGCUCUCGCAUCGAUGAAGAACGCAGC